Molecule: ribosomal RNA, 492 nt
Filed under: uncultured bacterium
Lineage: Bacteria
Description: partial 16S ribosomal RNA
Rfam family: Bacterial small subunit ribosomal RNA
Source: RNAcentral
AGUGAACGCUGGCGGUAGGCCUAACACAUGCAAGUCGAACGGUAGCACAGUAAGAGCUUGCUCUUACGGGUGGCGAGUGGCGGACGGGUGAGGAAUACAUCGGAAUCUACUUUUUCGUGGGGGAUAACGUAGGGAAACUUACGCUAAUACCGCAUACGACCUACGGGUGAAAGCAGGGGAUCUUCGGACCUUGCGCGAUUGAAUGAGCCGAUGUCGGAUUAGCUAGUUGGCGGGGUAAAGGCCCACCAAGGCGACGAUCCGUAGCUGGUCUGAGAGGAUGAGCGGCCACACUGGAAUUGAGACACGGUCCAGACCCCCCCGGGAGGCAGCAGGGGGGAAUUUUGAAAAAGGGGCGAAAGCUGGACCCCCCAAUGCCGCGGGGGUGAAGAAGGUUUUCGGGUGUUAAGCCUCUUUUGUUGGGAAAGAAAAAAAGCGGUUAAAACCCCGCUUGUCCGGAGGGAACCAAAAAAGAAAGCCCCGGCUACCUUCGUG